This 922-nucleotide long non-coding RNA is filed under the name Junco hyemalis (dark-eyed junco). Its description in RNAcentral is "lncRNA (ENSJHYG00000005307.1)". Lineage: Eukaryota; Metazoa; Chordata; Aves; Passeriformes; Passerellidae. The record is from RNAcentral.
AAGUGGCUUGCAGUUAAUUAGGGGGUUAAAUGUAAUUAAUUUUCAGCAGCUGAAGGACAGGCAGGUGGCUGAGGGGGGUGGGUGUGGGGCUCAGGACAUGCUGAGCAUCCUUGGGAUGAAGCUGUGCUGGGAUUCUCCAGGGACAUCACUCCAAAAAGAAGAUUUUGGAGAAAUUUGGUACCAUUUUAGUGCAGAACUGAAGAAAUCUGGGGAGUAUUUUGGGGUUGUAUGCCUCAGAUAAGUGAAACUUUAUAUAAUAAACUUCUUCAGACCAGUUGAAAAUUGGAAUAUUCAUAUAGUCCACUAUAUUAAUUGUAUUUUCCACAAUGCACUAAAAAUUUUACAAUUAAUUCCAGGUUACCACUCAGACACUGGACUUCUCUUACCAUGUAGUUUGUUAAGGCUUGGUUUGGUUUUAGAGGGUUUGAAGAUUUCAACCUUCCUGUGGAUCUAUGAAAAUGUGCAUUUUUACUCUUCUGCUGCAAGUGAGUUAUUUCCUCUUCUUUUCUGUGCCUGCUGCUGUGGAAGGUGGAACAAGAGGGAAAAGUGAAGAAUCCGCUGCUGGGAAGUGCUGAAAUCCCCCUGGGCAGAGCAUUAAAUCCUGUUCUGCAGCCUUGGAUGGGUUUUAUCCAGUGAGAGCUGCUCUUGGUGGUGUUAAAAUCACCUUAUUUUUGGUAAUCAUUGCAAUUUGGAUGUCCUGGAAAAUCAAGAGGAUUUUGUUCUCCAUGUACAGAUUUGUCUGGUUUAAAGCCAAUAAUUAAAAAGUAAUUCAGCAGGGACUUGGGUUCCUGCUGUCCUUUUGCUUCCAGUUCCUCACGUGUAUGCUCAGCCCAGAAUUAUCUCCUCUAUUUAAGGGAUAUUGUUUGUGUCCUUCUGUGGGAUUUUAAAUAAAUAGAUUUUUUACAGUAUUUGCCUAAAAUGC